UGGGGAAUUUUGGACAAUGGGCGCAAGCCUGAUCCAGCAAUGCCGCGUGUGUGAAGAAGGCCUGCGGGUUGUAAAGCACUUUCAGUAGGGAAGAAAAGCCUGAGGUUAAUACCCUCAAGUCUUGACGUAACCUACAGAAGAAGCACCGGCUAACUCCGUGCCAGCAGCCGCGGUAAUACGGAGGGUGCGAGCGUUAAUCGGAAUUACUGGGCGUAAAGCGCGCGUAGGUGGUUUGGUCAGUCGGAUGUGAAAGCGCAGGGCUUAACCUUGGAAUUGCAUUCGAUACUGCUUAACUAGAGUAUGGUAGAGGUAAGUGGAAUUUCCGGUGUAGCGGUGAAAUGCGUAGAUAUCGGAAGGAACACCAGUGGCGAAGGCGACUUCCUGGGCCAAUACUGACACUGAGGUGCGAAAGCGUGGGGAGCAAACAGGAUUAGAUACCCCCGUAGUCC
This 449-nucleotide ribosomal RNA is filed under the name uncultured prokaryote. RNAcentral's name for it is "bacterial SSU rRNA". It matches the Rfam family "Bacterial small subunit ribosomal RNA", at positions 355 to 796 of the family's 1533-position model. The record is from RNAcentral.